UAUUAAUUUAAUUGCUGUAAACUUUUAUAUGCAUACGCAAGAGCUUAUUAGCCAAAUUUGACCAGAUAUAUCGUCUUACCUGUUAGUCGACGCUGAUAUUUGGUGUUACAUCUGUACAUUCAUCUUGUUGCGCAUCGUCAGUUAAAUAUAUCUAUAUCACACAAAGGCAAAUCAAUAUUUCACUCGUCAACAGAGCAGAGAUUUACAAUCCUCUGUAAAUAGAAAUUCUGGUGAUGUUUUCAUAAAUUCUCAUUGGAUUUUUUUCUCAUUUUAAUUAAUGGAAUUAUUCAAACACAUUCUUUCAUCAUUAAUUGUGAUUAAGUUGAAGAAUUAAUUAGAACGUUGAAUAAUGAUUGAUUUUUAGAAGAAAUUAGGCUUUUAUUAUUUACGUGAAG
Cotesia glomerata is the source of this 395-nucleotide long non-coding RNA. RefSeq lists it as uncharacterized. The transcript is spliced from 3 exons. NCBI's taxonomy places the organism in Eukaryota, Metazoa, Arthropoda, Insecta, Hymenoptera, Braconidae. The record is from RefSeq and is a predicted model, not a curated record.